AAUCAUGGCUCAGGAUGAACGCUAGCUACAGGCUUAACACAUGCAAGUCGAGGGGCAUCAGAAAGAAAGCUUGCUUUCUUUGCUGGCGACCGGCGCACGGGUGAGUAACACGUAUCCAACCUGCCCUUUACUCGGGGAUAGCCUUUCGAAAGAAAGAUUAAUACCCGAUGGGAUAAUGAUUCCGCAUGGUUUCAUUAUUAAAGGAUUCCGGUAAAGGAUGGGGAUGCGUUCCAUUAGGUUGUUGGUGAGGUAACGGCU
This 258-nucleotide ribosomal RNA is filed under the name uncultured bacterium. Its description in RNAcentral is "partial 16S ribosomal RNA". It matches the Rfam family "Bacterial small subunit ribosomal RNA", at positions 15 to 265 of the family's 1533-position model. The record is from RNAcentral.